UACGUAGGGGGCUAGCGUUAUCCAGAUUUACUGGGCGUAAAGCGCGUGUAGGCGGCUGGUUAGGUGUGAUGUGAAAUCUUCGGGCUCAACCCGAAAACUGCAUUGCAAACCGGCCUGGCUAGAGUGCAGGAGAGGGAAGCGGAAUUCCAGGUGUAGCGGUGAAAUACGUAGAGAUUGGGAAGAACACCAGUGGCGAAGGCGGCUAUCUGGACGGUUUCUGACACUAAGACACGAAAGCGUGGGGAGCAAACAGG
Molecule: ribosomal RNA, 254 nt
Filed under: uncultured bacterium
Lineage: Bacteria
Description: partial 16S ribosomal RNA
Rfam family: Bacterial small subunit ribosomal RNA
Source: RNAcentral